AAAGAGAGGAGGAUGGCAUUGGCGUUUCUCUACAAGUAGGAACCAAUGGUUGUGCCUGAGUCUUAUCACCUCUCAACUAGUUGAAGUUGAACAAGGCGGCGGCUGCUAAGAAGAAGGGAGCAUCUGUGGAACAGAAGACUGCAGCCAAGGCAGCACUGGUCCACACCUGCCCUGUCUGUCGGCCACAGUUUGUUACCUUCCUGCACUUUGAGAGCAAGCAUCCCAAGUCUCCAAUGGUCCCAGUACUGGUUGAUGUGCACACACAAUCAUAGACCUAUAACUGGGACACACGAUAACCACGGUUUGAAUGCUGCAACGGAGACUGAAUGACGUUGAGGGACACGCUAUGAACCCGAGUAUGAUUGGACAUGGGCCAGAUAUGUGACAAUUACCUAAAAGGGGUGCAGAAGCACACUAGCACCCCAUUUUAUGUUUAUUCCAUGGCCAACCAUGCCUCCUAGCUAAUACAGUUGAAGUCAGAAGUUUACAUACACCUUAGCCAAAUACAUUUAAACUCAGUUUU
Long non-coding RNA from Coregonus clupeaformis (lake whitefish), 523 nucleotides. RefSeq lists it as uncharacterized. NCBI's taxonomy places the organism in Eukaryota, Metazoa, Chordata, Actinopteri, Salmoniformes, Salmonidae. The record is from RefSeq and is a predicted model, not a curated record. The transcript is spliced from 5 exons.